CCGCGCGCCUGGGGAGCGGGUCUGGCUGCUGGGGGCGGGGGGGGGGGGGCGUGGGGGGCGCACGACCCUCCCCACGUCACCCACCCGGACGGGGCACUUGGCCACGAAGCUGCCUGGUGCUGGACUCGCCCCGCAUCCCAACCUGGCUUUUAUUUUAUUUUAUUUUUUUAAGUUAUUAACGAAAUCUGAAUGUCGGGAGCUUGCUUCCGACCAGAGGGUGAACUUGACCGCGUCCGGCCCUCACACGACCACCUCGCCCCCCAGCCAGGGCCCCCGCUGCUCCAUGUGAACCGCUAGUGAACGGGGUUCGAAGAUCGGAAAAAAUAUAUAUAUAUUUGGUGUUAGCCUCAGACUGAGUGUGUGCGCCACCGGGUGAAGGCGGCCUGAAACCCCCGAGCGACCCAGACGCCUCGCCUGCGGCUGCUCCUGUGACCUGUGGCCUCGGGACACCGGGGAGAGCCGUCCCGGUCCGCCGGGAGCCCUGCUUCCGAGCCCGCGCUCCUGUGCGCAAGGUCAGGCAACAGAGUAUCGCCCGGGCGCUUCUUUGUGUCGCUUCCCCGCCUCCAAGGACGCGCGCGACCCCUGUUGGUGGAGGGGCGCCAUCGCAGCCCGGCCCGCCCACCCGCGUCCUGCGGGGUCCUCCCACCCGCCGCGGGGGACUGUCCCCCAGCGCCCACCUCUCCCACCUCAGCCCCCACCCCCGCAGCUCCAGGGCCACAGCCACGCCCAGUUCCUCCUUCCGACCUGCUCUUCCUCCCCUGUCCCUGCGUGGCCAGCGCUCACCAUCCACGAAGACAACCCCAGGCCCCUGGCCUGGCCUCCCGCAGACAGCGGUCCACUCAACCCACCGAAUGGGGUCCUCGCCCUGCUGACCGGACCGGCGCUAACCCCUCCCGCCGCGCUGCCUGCUCCUCCAGGCCUUCCUCCAACGCGGAUGUUGACCCCACAGGACCGACUCACGGGUCCCCUGGGGCCCAGUCUCUCUCCCUGGCACAUUCACUGCUCUGUAUUUUGGGGUCCCUAUGCUAAGACUGCAGGGUCCCCCGCGCUGGUCGGCCCCAGGUUUGCACAUCGGGUGCUGCGGUCCAGACCAGUAGCACGCUGGGGAGGUCAAGAGAAGGGCUGGGGAGCCACAGCGCCCCCCUGUGGUCAUCGUGCCCACAACGCUCAAUCCGAGGCCCUUGGUUUCUUUUUAAACAUGUUUUAUGGAUUUUAGAUUGAUUUUAGAGAGGAAGGGGGAGAAGCACCAUCAAUCAAUCGGCUGCGUCCUGCACGCCCCCCAACUGGGAUUGGGCCUGCAACCCGGGUAUGCGCCCUGUCUGGGAAUUGAGCCAUGAUCUCCUGGUUCAUAGGUCAACGCUCAGCCACUGUGCCACACGGGCCAGCAGGAUGGACUUUUUGAUAAAGGGUGCUGGGAUAAUGGACACCCACAUGGGGAAAAUGCAUCAAAGCCCAACUCCAGGUGGAUGGCAGACUACGUUUAAAAGCAAAACUGCUUUAGUGUGGCUCAGCAAGGUUGCUGGCUCGAUUCCUGGUUAGGGCACAUGCCCGGGUUGCAGGUUAAAUGCCUGGUUGGGGGUGCGCAGGAGGCAGCCGAUAGAUGUUUUACUCUCACAUCAAUGUUUCUCUCCCUUUCUCUCUAAAAAUCAAUGUUGAAAAAAUAUGAAAAAAAUAUUUCAAAAAUAUGAAAAAUAUUAGAGGCCUCACACAACUUCAGGGUUUAUUAUAAAGCAACAGCCAUGGGGAUGGUUUGGCUCAUGCAGAAAGGCAUUUUCUGAGACUUAUAUUGAAUGUUCUCUUAUUUAGAGCCACCAUGUGUCACCCGAUAUAUUCAGAAAGGUUUGGGGACAUAAAAAUAUUAAUUCAUCUAUACCACUGCCAAUAAAAUGUUUUUAAAAUGGAA
This is a long non-coding RNA of Myotis myotis, 1903 nucleotides long. RefSeq lists it as uncharacterized. The transcript has 2 exons. The record is from RefSeq and is a predicted model, not a curated record. Lineage: Eukaryota; Metazoa; Chordata; Mammalia; Chiroptera; Vespertilionidae.